GAAAGACAGUUCUUAUUCUUGGUUAGGGCAGCUCAGCAUUAUAAGAUGUCAAUUCCCCCUACAUUAAUUUAUAAAUUUAAUGCAGUACAAAAAAAUACUAACAAACAUUUCUCUGGAGUUAGUCAAGUUGAUAAUAAAGUUCACGUAGAAAAGCAAACAUGCAAGAAUUAUUAAUGGAAGUCCUUUUCUUUAGGAUAACUGGGAUGACGAUGAUGAUGAAAAAAAAGAGGAAGCAGAAGUAAAACCAGAGGUAAAAAUUUCAGAAAAGAAAAAAAUAGCAGAGAAGAUAAAAGAGAAAGAACGGCAACAGAAGAAAAGGCAAGAAGAAAUUAAAAAGAGGUUAGAAGAACCUGAAGAACCUA
Molecule: small RNA, 362 nt
Filed under: Pan troglodytes (chimpanzee)
Lineage: Eukaryota; Metazoa; Chordata; Mammalia; Primates; Hominidae
Description: retained intron
Source: RNAcentral